This 1080-nucleotide ribosomal RNA is filed under the name uncultured crenarchaeote. RNAcentral's name for it is "bacterial SSU rRNA". It matches the Rfam family "Archaeal small subunit ribosomal RNA", at positions 93 to 1163 of the family's 1478-position model. The record is from RNAcentral. Lineage: Archaea; Thermoproteati; Thermoproteota.
GUAACACAUGAUCAACUUGCCCUAUGGAGAGCACUAACCUCGGGAAACUGAGGAUAAUGGCUCAUACUUGAUUAGGCUUGGAAAAGUUUUCAAUGAAAGGCGUAAGAAAAAUGGUUCUUAUGCGCCAUAGGAUAGGAUCGUGCUCGAUUAUGGUAGUUGGUGAGGUAACGGCUCACCAAGCCGAUAAUCGAUAGGGGCCGUGAGAGCGGUUGCCCCGAGAUGGGUACUGAGACAGCGACCCAGGCCUUACGAGGCGCAGCAGGCGCGAGACCUCCGCAAUACACGCAAGUGUGACGGGGUUACCCAAAGUGUCCUUAUUGGACUGUGGCGGGUGAGUAAUGUUCCCCGCUAGAACAGGAGAGGGCAAGGCUGGUGCCAGCCGCCGCGGUAAAACCAGCUCUUCAAGUGGUCGGGAUAAUUAUUGGGCUUAAAGUGUCCGUAGCCGGUUUAGUAAGUUCCUGGUAAAACCGGGCAGCUUAACUGUCCGUAUGCUAGGAAUACUGCUAUGCUAGAGGGCGGGAGAGGUCUGAGGUACUACAGGGCGUACGGGUGACAUCUUAUAAUCCUUGUAGGACCAUCAGUGGCGACAGCGUCAGACUGGUAACGCGCCUGACGGUGACGGACGAAAGCCAUGGGAGCGAACCGGAUUAGAUACCCGGGUAGUCCUGGCCGUAAACGAUGCAUACUAGGCAAUGGUGCGGCUAUGAGCCGCAUCAGUACCGUAGGGAAACCGUUAAGUGUGCCGCCUGGGAAGUACGGUCGCAAGGCUAAAACCUUAAAGGAACUUGUGCGCGGAGGAGCACNNCANCAAGGGGUGAAGCCUGCGGUUCAAUUGGACUCAACGCCGGGAAACUUACCAGGGGAGACAGCAGAAUGACAGUCAGGUUGACGGCCUUACUCGACGAGCUGAGAGGAGGUGCAUGGCCGUCGCCAGUUCGUGUGGAGGUAUCCUGUUAAUCAGGCACGAACGAGAUCCGCGCCUUUAUUGCCAUCAAGAAGUCAACUUCGUUGGACAUAAGGACCGCCGUCGAUAAGACGGAGGAAGGGGCGGGCAAAGGCAGGUCAGUAUGCCCCGAACCU